Long non-coding RNA from Hemibagrus wyckioides, 1630 nucleotides. RefSeq lists it as uncharacterized. The record is from RefSeq and is a predicted model, not a curated record. The transcript has 3 exons. Lineage: Eukaryota; Metazoa; Chordata; Actinopteri; Siluriformes; Bagridae.
GUGUGUGUGUGUGUUUAUGGCUGCAGAAAAGUGUGUGUGUGUGCUUGGGCUUCAAUCAGCUGAGAAAGGCUGGAAUUUCCUGUGGGGGAUGAGACUCAAGAUUGGCAACGCUAAAAAUUCCCCAUCCGAGUCAUCCGGCUGCUGAAAAAUUCCAGAUAUGAGACACUUCGUGGAAAACAAACACUCGGCUCUGUUCUGCAAACUCGAACGUGACGAGUGAUGCACUGAUGCCUUUAAAAAGAGUUUUUAACCUGUGUGUGGAAGCCAGGUAUUAAAAGCGAAGAGACAUGACCUAGCAUGAUUUACAGAUUUACUGCUGCGUGCUAAACUGGAGGCUAGAAACAUCCAUCACUGUUAGCUAUAUUAGCUUCACAGUGGAAAAGUACAGAGCAAAACAACAACAGAAGCUAGAAUGUCGACGUCAGUGAUGUCUCCUCAAAUAUCUUACCUGAUUAAAAGAAGCAAAAAGUUUGCAGUAACAGGAAGUCAGAGGGAGGCCGUGCUGAUCACUGCUCUCGUCUCGUCUCGUCUCAGAGAGACUGCAGUAAACAUGUAAACGCAGACGGAAAGGUGACGUGUGCGGUUUCAGUGAUUUAAAUACAAACCUGAGAGACCGACAUGGGGCUGUACCUGCGCCUCAGACUCCAGCGUCACUCUCCUGAGCAGACGCACACACACAUGCAAAUCAGAGUCAGAACUCUCCCUCUGGAGUACACACACACACACACACACACAAAGUGCAAGAAUCUCAGAUGAUUCAGCUUGAUCUGAGAAGCGUCAGCUGGAAAACCCGUCUCUCUCUCUCGGUUUGAUUUUUUUCUUCGGGGAUUUAUCACAUUUCAUUUAUUAUCCCCAAGGCCGGAACGUCAUCUCUAUGCAAAUACGGGGGAAAAAAAUCAGAGAGGACACAUGGGACAAAUUUCACUUAAAUCUCAAGAGAAGUGAGUGUGAGAACACUCAAAAAUUCUUUAGACAGAAACACAGACAGACACAAAGGUCCAGAGACAGAAGGACAGUCUAUGGUGAUAUGAUUAUUUUAUCAGUGAUUCUUUAAUGCUGCUACACACAUUUCUGACAAAUACACUCUUAUGUCUUAAGUCUUAUUUCUAAUUAGAAGCUGAAUAGAAACAGCAUUUUAACUGAUACCUAAAUAUCACAAUACAUAUUGUACAGGGGUAUUGUGAUAUUUUUAUCAAAUCACCUGGUCUUAUAGCAGAGCAGCAGAGAGAGAGAGAGACACACACACACACACACACACAGAGGCAGAGCAAGUGAGACAGAGAGAGAGAGAGACAGUCAGAGAGAAACAGAGCGAGUGAGACAGACAGAGUGCUUGUCUGUUGCUGUUAUAGGGGAAACUGCAGUGUUCCUCACAGGACAGGAGGAAAUGAAUUGCAGAUAAACAGUCAGUGAUGGACGAUAAUCUCAACACUCUCCUGAUUCUGAUAAACCCCGACACUCGGGUGUGAACCAGAGCACUGGCGUUAAACUCGGCAGCCUCGUCUCAAAACGCAGCGGAAAGUGAGAAGAAUCCACUCUGUAUAGAGUUUAAUGUACAGCGUGAGGAAACUCACACAGGAAGCAGCAUGUUGCUGCAAUAACCUACUCCUCACUAUACCACGAGGGCGCC